RNAcentral lists this long non-coding RNA (524 nucleotides) under Penaeus japonicus. Its description in RNAcentral is "uncharacterized LOC122257799". Lineage: Eukaryota; Metazoa; Arthropoda; Malacostraca; Decapoda; Penaeidae. The record is from RNAcentral.
UCAAGAAUCGGUAGUCACGCUUAUCCCUCCCCCUUGGAAGAGGAGAAUUGGGAAAGGGGGGGGGGGCAAUGGAGCAUAAAAACCUUUACGUCUUCAGGACUCGGCAGUCCGGUGACGACCACGAUGCGGUUCCUUGCCUUCGUCCUCCUUCUGGCUCUCGCCGUUGCCUUCGUCGGCGCCAAGGCCGUGCCCUGCUGUGGCGGCGGAGGUCAUCACGGAGGUCAUGGAGGUAACGGUGGAGGUCACGGCGGUGGAGGCUUCGGAGGAGGCUUCGGAGGCGGUGGAGGAUUAGGAGGUGGAGGAGGCUUUGGCGGUGGUUUUGGAGGCUAGGACCGAAGGAUUUCACGGACGGAAGAUCACAUGAGAAUCACGUGACUAACGCAAUCAAUAAUUUUAGAAUUACUACAUCUUUUCCUAAAAGAUUUUUUUUUUCCUUCAGUUAUAUAUCUAUUUCUUUUUAUUUUCUUGCUUCUCCUUCCACUACUUUCAUUAAGACAUUGCUGUGAAUAAAAUAAUGAAAAUAU